This 363-nucleotide ribosomal RNA is filed under the name Dipsadoboa underwoodi. RNAcentral's name for it is "partial large subunit ribosomal RNA". It matches the Rfam family "Bacterial large subunit ribosomal RNA", at positions 1909 to 2494 of the family's 2925-position model. The record is from RNAcentral. Lineage: Eukaryota; Metazoa; Chordata; Lepidosauria; Squamata; Colubridae.
CCAGUGAAAAAUUAAACGGCCGCGGUACCCUAACCGUGCAAAGGUAGCAUAAUCAUUUGUCUACUAAUUAUAGACCCGUAUGAAUGGCAAAAUGAGGGCCUAACUGUCUCUUAUAAUUAAUCAAUUAAACUGAUCUACUAGUAAAAAAGCUAGAAUGUCCACAUAAGACCAGAAGACCCUGUGAAGCUUAAACUAAACUAUUAAACCUAAUAAUAACUACUUUCGGUUGGGGCGACCAAGGAAAAAAAAAGAACUUCCAAACCACGACUAUCCGUCACCAAAAGGCCAACAAGCCCGCUAAUGACCCAGCACAGCUGAUCAAUGAACAAAGUUACUCCAGGGAUAACAGCGCAAUCUUCUUCA